Molecule: unclassified non-coding RNA, 250 nt
Filed under: plant metagenome
Description: partial contains small subunit ribosomal RNA, internal transcribed spacer 1, and 5.8S ribosomal RNA
Source: RNAcentral
GUAGGUGAACCUGCGGAAGGAUCAUUAUCACGUAAUAAUCCACGUUAUAAACCCUUCUUUGAAUUGUUUUUAAACUAAAUUUCUGGAACAGCUCUGUGCUGGAAUGCUUUUGGAUUGGGAUAUGGAAAUUUUAAUAGAACACUGUCUUAAUUUAUUUUAAGAUUGAAAUGGGAAAAUUAUUGUAAUUUGAGAUCCCAGAGUUCUGUUAAUAGUUCAUAACCAGCAAUUCGUUAGCGUCUAAGAAAUUGUA